RNAcentral lists this transfer RNA (76 nucleotides) under Clostridioides difficile. RNAcentral describes it as "tRNA-Met". It matches the Rfam family "tRNA". From Rfam's summary of the family: Transfer RNA (tRNA) molecules are approximately 80 nucleotides in length. Their secondary structure includes four short double-helical elements and three loops (D, anti-codon, and T loops). The record is from RNAcentral. Lineage: Bacteria; Bacillati; Bacillota; Clostridia; Peptostreptococcales; Peptostreptococcaceae.
CGCGGAGUGGAGCAGUUGGCAGCUUGUCGGGCUCAUAACCCGAAGGUCGUAGGUUCAAGUCCUGCCUCCGCAACCA